CAGGCCUAACACAUGCAAGUCGAACGAAGGCUUCGGCCUUAGUGGCGCACGGGUGCGUAACGCGUGGGAAUCUGCCCUUGGGUUCGGAAUAACAGUUAGAAAUGACUGCUAAUACCGGAUGAUGUCGAUAAGACCAAAGAUUUAUCGCCCGAGGAUGAGCCCGCGUAGGAUUAGCUAGUUGGUGUGGUAAAGGCGCACCAAGGCGACGAUCCGUAGCUGGUCUGAGAGGAUGAUCAGCCACACUGGGACUGAGACACGGCCCAGACUCCUACGGGAGGCAGCAGUGGGGAAUAUUGGACAAUGGGCGAAAGCCUGAUCCAGCAAUGCCGCGUGAGUGAUGAAGGCCUUAGGGUUGUAAAGCUCUUUUACCCGGGAUGAUAAUGACAGUACCGGGAGAAUAAGCUCCGGCUAACUCCGUGCCAGCAGCCGCGGUAAU
This 436-nucleotide ribosomal RNA is filed under the name uncultured bacterium. RNAcentral's name for it is "bacterial SSU rRNA". It matches the Rfam family "Bacterial small subunit ribosomal RNA", at positions 43 to 524 of the family's 1533-position model. The record is from RNAcentral.